This 208-nucleotide ribosomal RNA is filed under the name uncultured bacterium. RNAcentral describes it as "partial 16S ribosomal RNA". It matches the Rfam family "Bacterial small subunit ribosomal RNA", at positions 1293 to 1500 of the family's 1533-position model. The record is from RNAcentral.
UCGGAUUGUAGUCUGCAACCCGACUACAUGAAGCUGGAAUCGCUAGUAAUCGCGAAUCAGAAUGUCGCGGUGAAUACGUUCCCGGGUCUUGUACACACCGCCCGUCACACCAUGGGAGUCGGAAAUGCCCGAAGUCAGUGACCUAACCGAAAGGGAGGAGCUGCCGAAGGUGGAGCCGGUAACUGGGGUGAAGUCGUAACAAGGUACC